UACAGAGGUCCCAAGCGUUGUUCGGAUUCAUUGGGCGUAAAGGGUGCGUAGGCGGCGCGGUAAGUCGGGUGUGAAAUCUCGGGGCUUAACUCCGAAACUGCAUUCGAUACUGCCGUGCUUGAGGACUGGAGAGGAGACUGGAAUUUACGGUGUAGCGGUGAAAUGCGUAGAUAUCGUAAGGAAGACCAGUGGCGAAGGCGAGUCUCUGGACAGUUCCUGACACUGAGGCACGAAGGCCAGGGGAGCAAACGGG
Molecule: ribosomal RNA, 253 nt
Filed under: uncultured bacterium
Lineage: Bacteria
Description: partial 16S ribosomal RNA
Rfam family: Bacterial small subunit ribosomal RNA
Source: RNAcentral